UUAUAACACCCAUGAACGCAUAUAACCAUAACAUGAUGGGGUUAACAUAGGAAUGAGAUGGUCCCAAUCAUGAGACAUAGCCAAUUAUGAAUUGGAUGCAACCAACCUCAUAAAUUAUCAAAUAAAAUCAAUCAUCUUACGUACAAGCCUCGCCUCAUAAAAGUAAAAGAAUCUAAGUGAAUGUAUAACCAGGACCAGCCCUGGCCCAUCCAAUCAGGCAAGAGAACAAGAGAUGGACCACCACAAACAUAAAGAAGAUCAAAGAGAAUAAGGACAAAAAGAAAAAGAAAUACAUAGAAGACAGAGAGAUUAUUUCUAUAUCAUGGCUUCGGAUCUAAGCAAACAUGGCGAUGCCCAGCAAAAGAGCCCAUCCCGUGAUCAGCAUCUGCUUCAAUGUCCCAGCUCCGUUCUGCAUUAAAAAAAAAAAACACACAAAAAUAAUCAUAUUAAUCAGUAAUCAUGUGAUUAACUUUAACUAAAUGUGUACUUAAAUAGAUAUAAAGACGAGCCCACAGAGAAGGACAGGGAACAGCUGGUGAUGGUAACCCUGCUGUUGUUGUCUCUACCUUGGCUUGUAGGCACCCGUGUUUCUGAUAUUGCCACCCGACCUUUUCCGUAGCCCACGCUCGAUUUCCAACUAUAUGGGUAAAUAAUCCUGGGCAUGUUACUAGGAUGACAACAGCGGGACGCUACGUGGCUUAAUGAACCACAGCCGCGUGUCCAAAGGUACCGGUAAAAAUUGAUGCCGCGAAUCUCGAGGUCUUCUGCUUAUAUCGAACGGGAAAGAUUGCUUUAUGUGACAUGGAGGGGAUAGGUUCGGGGACGAAUGUGAUGGAUGUCCGCGUAAAUAUUUUAAUGCGGACGUCGGAUCUGCCGUUAAUGGUGGCUCUGAGAGCCAUCUUACCGCUCGAGUAUGGCAGGGGACGGAGGUUGGCGUUUUCGCAUAGAAAUUUCGGUACGUUAGCAUGUUAUAUUUUGUUCUAAGCGGAUCCUAACGGCUAAAUUUUCUCGCGGGAGAUCGACGCGGGAAUCCGGCGCACAUCAGGUGACCUCCGGAGAUCGCUAAAAUGCGCCAGAAGAAGCGGCCCUUCCGAAUCCAACGGCUAAUGGCGCAAGUUAGCGCCGUGAAGCGGUGGUGGGGAGGGGUGGGGAGAGAGAGAGAGAGAGAGAGAGAGAGGA
This 1179-nucleotide long non-coding RNA is filed under the name Phoenix dactylifera (date palm). Its description in RNAcentral is "long non-coding RNA (PDAC_LNC001773)". Lineage: Eukaryota; Viridiplantae; Streptophyta; Magnoliopsida; Arecales; Arecaceae. The record is from RNAcentral.